Molecule: ribosomal RNA, 369 nt
Filed under: uncultured phototrophic eukaryote
Lineage: Eukaryota
Description: SSU rRNA
Rfam family: Bacterial small subunit ribosomal RNA
Source: RNAcentral
UACGGGGGAUGCAAGCGUUAUCCGGAAUUAUUGGGCGUAAAGCGCCUGUAGGUUGUUUAAUAAGUCUGUUGUUAAAGACUAGGGCUUAACCCUAGAAAAGCAAUGGAAACUGCUAGACUUGAGUAUGGCAGGGGUAGAGGGAAUUUCUAGUGUAGCGGUGAAAUGCGUAGAUAUUAGAAAGAACACCAGUGGCGAAAGCGCUCUACUGGACCAUUACUGACACUCAGAGGCGAAAGCUAGGGUAGCAAAAGGGAUUAGAUACCCCUGUAGUCCUAGCCGUAAACGAUGGAUACUAGAUGUUGCAUAUAGUUUGCAGUAUCGUAGUUAACGCAUUAAGUAUCCCGCCUGGGGAGUACGCUCGCAAGGGUG